CAUGGAAGUUAGCGGUGGCAUGUAAAUCAUGUGAUUGAUGUUUGCUAUAUUUCACCAUAUUCACUAUCAGUGAGAUCACAGAAUCUUUUCCAUACAAAUACUGAAUUACAAACUCCCUCUCUGGCAAUCUAAUCCAGCCAUUUAAAUAUCUUAAAAAGAAGGAAAAACUCUCCUUACGAUUUACAUGCCACCGCUAACUUCCAUGAUAUGAUCCAUGGGGAAAAAAAU
Molecule: unclassified non-coding RNA, 228 nt
Filed under: Hevea brasiliensis (rubber tree)
Lineage: Eukaryota; Viridiplantae; Streptophyta; Magnoliopsida; Malpighiales; Euphorbiaceae
Source: RNAcentral